UAGAGUUUGAUCAUGGCUCAGAACGAACGUUGGCGGCGUGGAUAAGGCAUGCAAGUCGGACGAUCACGUCGAGCCUCUUGGCUUCGGUCAGAAGGCUUGAUUUGAUAGUGGCAAAAGGGUGAGUAACAAGUGAGUAAUUUACCUUUGAGCUCGGGACAACAUUCCGAAAGGAGUGCUAAUACCGAAUAAGACCGCGACCCUGCAUGGGGUUGAGGUCAAAGGCAGGGACCGCAAGGCCUGCCACUUGAAGAUGAGCUUGCUUUCUAUCAGCUUGUUGGUGAGGUAACGGCUCACCAAGGCUACGACGGAUAGCUGGUCUGAGAGGAUGGUCAGCCACACUGGGACUGAGACACUGCCCAGACUCCUACGGGAGGCUGCAGUCGAGAAUCUUUCGCAAUGGGCGCAAGCCUGACGAUGCGACGCCGCGUGAGCGAUGAAGGUCUUCGGAUCGUAAAGCUCUGUCAGGUGGGACGAACGUCCUGAAGGCGAAUAGCCUGAUGGGCUGACUGUACCACUAGAGGAAGCCACGGCUAACUCCGUGCCAGCAGCCGCGGUAAUACGGAGGUGGCUAACGUUGUUCGGAUUCAUUGGGUGUAAAGGGUAUGUAGGUGGCCUUGCAAGUCGGAUGUGAAAUCCUUUGGCUCAACCAAAGAGCUGCAUUCGAAACUGCUUGGCUUGAGUUUCGGAGAGGAGAGUGGAAUUCCCAGUGUAAGAGUGAAAUCUGUAGAUAUUGGGAGGAACACCAGUGGCGAAAGCGACUCUCUGGCCGGAAACUGACACUGAAAUACGAAAGCUAGGGGAGCAAACAGGAUUAGAU
This 817-nucleotide ribosomal RNA is filed under the name uncultured Omnitrophica bacterium. Its description in RNAcentral is "bacterial SSU rRNA". It matches the Rfam family "Bacterial small subunit ribosomal RNA", at positions 1 to 783 of the family's 1533-position model. Lineage: Bacteria; Pseudomonadati; Candidatus Omnitrophota. The record is from RNAcentral.